Molecule: ribosomal RNA, 506 nt
Filed under: uncultured bacterium
Lineage: Bacteria
Description: bacterial SSU rRNA
Rfam family: Bacterial small subunit ribosomal RNA
Source: RNAcentral
UCCUGGCUCAGGAUGAACGCUAGCGACAGGCUAACACAUGCAAGUCGAGGGGCAGCAUAAAAGUAGCAAUACUUGGUGGCGACCGGCGCACGGGUGAGUAACGCGUAUGCAACCUACCUAUCAGAGGGGAAUAACCCGGCGAAAGUCGGACUAAUACCGCAUAAACAGGGGCACCGCAUGGUGAUAUUUGUUAAAGAAAUUCGCUGAUAGAUGGGCAUGCGUUCCAUUAGGUAGUUGGUGAGGUAACGGCUCACCAAGCCGACGAUGGAUAGGGGAACUGAGAGGUUGGUCCCCCACACUGGUACUGAGACACGGACCAGACUCCUACGGGAGGCAGCAGUGAGGAAUAUUGGUCAAUGGGCGGGAGCCUGAACCAGCCAAGUCGCGUGAAGGAAGAAGGAUCUAUGGUUCGUAAACUUCUUUUGCAGGGGAAUAAAGUGCAGGACGUGUCCUGUUUUGUAUGUACCCUGAGAAUAAGGAUCGGCUAACUCCGUGCCAGCCGCCGC